GUAAAAACUCAUCAAUUGGCAAGGAGAAACCAAGAUUUGUCUAUUGCAUGUUCUAAAAAUCCAGCCAUCUAAGCAUAUCUAGUAGAUUGGCGUGAAGGAAGAAGGCUCAAGUGCUAAGAAAACGGAAGGUUCACAAGAUCGAGGUAAAUCCUCGACUUAGGCAUAAGGAUGGCUUGGAGUGUGCACACUUGGGUUACGCCUACCACACGCUUCCGUUAAUAAGACUUUGUUUUGAAUGGGUCAAUUGUGGUGUUUUGUACUUAACCUUAACUCGUACAUGGUACUUGUCGUUGGAAAAUUUUUAGUAGUAAUAGUCGUGUUGUGUUCUAUGUA
Helianthus annuus (common sunflower) is the source of this 333-nucleotide long non-coding RNA. RefSeq lists it as uncharacterized. The record is from RefSeq and is a predicted model, not a curated record. Lineage: Eukaryota; Viridiplantae; Streptophyta; Magnoliopsida; Asterales; Asteraceae. The transcript is spliced from 3 exons.